Molecule: ribosomal RNA, 335 nt
Filed under: uncultured bacterium
Lineage: Bacteria
Description: bacterial SSU rRNA
Rfam family: Bacterial small subunit ribosomal RNA
Source: RNAcentral
UACGACGUAUCAGAGUUUGAUCCUGGCUCAGAUUGAACGCUGGCGGCAUGCCUUACACAUGCAAGUCGAACGGCAGCACGGGAGCAAUCCUGGUGGCGAGUGGCGAACGGGUGAGUAAUACAUCGGAACGUGCCCUGUAGUGGGGGAUAACUAGUCGAAAGACUAGCUAAUACCGCAUACGACCUGAGGGUGAAAGUGGGGGACCGCAAGGCCUCAUGCUAUAGGAGCGGCCGAUGUCUGAUUAGCUAGUUGGUGGGGUAAAGGCCUACCAAGGCGACGAUCAGUAGCUGGUCUGAGAGGACGAUCAGCCACACUGGGACUGAGACACGGCCCAG